This is a long non-coding RNA of Ochotona curzoniae (black-lipped pika), 92 nucleotides long. RefSeq lists it as uncharacterized. Lineage: Eukaryota; Metazoa; Chordata; Mammalia; Lagomorpha; Ochotonidae. The transcript has 3 exons. The record is from RefSeq and is a predicted model, not a curated record.
AAGUACCAACCAUGGAUAAUUAACCCUGAAUGUAAACGGCUUGCACUCAUCAAACAUUAUAGAUAAAUAGACUGGAUUGAAAAACAAAACCC